UAGAAACCAGUCAAUAAGGACUAAGGUCUGAUCAACAGAAGUCAGGAGGAGGGAGGAAAUAAAAUGAAAGGCAUUGACAGAGUUAAAAGACGAGCUAAGGUCAAGGGCAGUCAACAAGAUUUCAGAACCUGCAUCAAGAUGGAAAGGGUGAAAGCUCCCAAAUUCUUCUACUGUGCAGUCCCUGACACCAAGUGGACAAACUGAGGAACUUCAUUUCUAACACAACAACUGUACAUACAAUCAUUUAUUGGCAAGUGGAAAAUAAGAGGGUCCUGGACAAAUAGGACUCAAACAGUUCAUGAGGAAAACUACAAAUGUUAUUACCAACGAAGGAAUGAUGAAGUUUCAAUAAAAUGUUGUUUACAGCUAUAGCCAACGGCUGUCGGGCAUGCAGGGAGUUGUUGUUUUGCAACAGCUGGAGGCGCACUAUUUGGAAAACACU
Molecule: long non-coding RNA, 442 nt
Organism: Hyla sarda
Lineage: Eukaryota; Metazoa; Chordata; Amphibia; Anura; Hylidae
Exons: 3
Source: RefSeq, a predicted model, not a curated record